AGUGAACGCUGGCGGCGUGCUUAACACAUGCAAGUCGAACGAGAACGGGUUAUAGCUUGCUAUAAUUGUCAGCUAAGUGGCGCAUGGGUGAGUAAUGUAUAGGUAAUAUGCCUCUUACUAAGGGAUAACAAAUGGAAACGUUUGCUAAUACCUUAUACUCCUUAUUAACAGAAGUUAAUAAGGGAAAGAUUUAUUGGUAAGAGAUUAGCCUGUAUUGUAUCAGUUAGUUGGUGGGGUAAUGGCUUACCAAGACUAUGACACAUAACUGGUUUGAGAGGAUGAUCAGUCACACUGGAACUGAGACACGGUCCAGACUCCUACGGGAGGCAGCAGUGGGGAGUAUUGCACAAUGGACGAAAGUCUGAUGCAGCAACGCCGCGUGGAGGAUGACACAUUUCGGUGCGUAAACUCCUUUUAUAUGAGAAGAUAAUGACGGUAUUAUAUGAAUAAGCACCGGCUAACUCCGUGCCAGCCGCCGCGGUAA
This 484-nucleotide ribosomal RNA is filed under the name uncultured bacterium. RNAcentral describes it as "partial 16S ribosomal RNA". It matches the Rfam family "Bacterial small subunit ribosomal RNA", at positions 29 to 523 of the family's 1533-position model. The record is from RNAcentral.